RNAcentral lists this ribosomal RNA (470 nucleotides) under uncultured Propionivibrio sp. Its description in RNAcentral is "bacterial SSU rRNA". It matches the Rfam family "Bacterial small subunit ribosomal RNA", at positions 916 to 1381 of the family's 1533-position model. Lineage: Bacteria; Pseudomonadati; Pseudomonadota; Betaproteobacteria; Rhodocyclales; Rhodocyclaceae. The record is from RNAcentral.
AGACGGGACCCGCACAAGCGGUGGAUGAUGUGGAUUAAUUCGAUGCAACGCGAAAACCUUACCUACCCUUGACAUGUCCGGAAUCCCGAAGAGAUUUGGGAGUGCUCGCAAGAGAACCGGAACACAGGUGCUGCAUGGCUGUCGUCAGCUCGUGUCGUGAGAUGUUGGGUUAAGUCCCGCAACGAGCGCAACCCUUGUCAUUAGUUGCCAUCAUUUGGUUGGGCACUCUAAUGAGACUGCCGGUGACAAACCGGAGGAAGGUGGGGAUGACGUCAAGUCCUCAUGGCCCUUAUGACCAGGGCUACACACGUGCUACAAUGGCCGGUACAAAGAGUUGCGAUACCGUGAGGUGGAGCCAAUCUCAUAAAGCCGGUCUCAGUUCGGAUUGGAGUCUGCAACUCGACUCCAUGAAGUUGGAAUCGCUAGUAAUCGUGGAUCAGCAUACCACGGUGAAUACGUUCCCGGGCCUU